This 503-nucleotide ribosomal RNA is filed under the name uncultured bacterium. RNAcentral describes it as "bacterial SSU rRNA". It matches the Rfam family "Bacterial small subunit ribosomal RNA", at positions 18 to 518 of the family's 1533-position model. The record is from RNAcentral.
CUUGGUUCAGGAUGAACGCUAGCUACAGGCUUAACACAUGCAAGUCGAGGGGUAGCAGGGUAGCAAUACCGCUGACGACCGGCGCACGGGUGAGUAACACGUAUCCAACCUUCCCAUAACUCAGGGAUAGCCUUUCGAAAGAAAGAUUAAUACCUGAUAGUACUUUUUCAAGGCAUCUUGAGAAAGUUAAAGAUUUAUUGGUUAUGGAUGGGGAUGCGUUCCAUUAGAUAGUUGGUGAGGUAACGGCUCACCAAGUCUUCGAUGGAUAGGGGUUCUGAGAGGAAGGUCCCCCACAUUGGUACUGAGACACGGACCAAACUCCUACGGGAGGCAGCAGUGAGGAAUAUUGGUCAAUGGGCGAGAGCCUGAACCAGCCAAGUAGCGUGAAGGAUGAAGGUCCUAUGGAUUGUAAACUUCUUUUAUAGUAGAAUAAAGUGAUCCACGUGUGGAUUUUUGUAUGUAUACUAUGAAUAAGGAUCGGCUAACUCCGUGCCAGCCGCUGC